This 1346-nucleotide ribosomal RNA is filed under the name uncultured bacterium. RNAcentral's name for it is "partial 16S ribosomal RNA". It matches the Rfam family "Bacterial small subunit ribosomal RNA", at positions 28 to 1381 of the family's 1533-position model. The record is from RNAcentral.
GACGAACGCUGGCGGCGUGCUUAACACAUGCAAGUCGAACGGAAAGGCCCUGCUUUUGUGGGGUGCUCGAGUGGCGAACGGGAGAGUAACACGUGAGUAACCUGCCCUUGACUUUGGGAUAACUUCAGGAAACUGGGGCUAAUACCGGAUAGGAGCUCCUGCUGCAUGGUGGGGGUUGGAAAGUUUCGGCGGUUGGGGAUGGACUCGCGGCUUAUCAGCUUGUUGGUGGGGUAGUGGCUUACCAAGGCUUUGACGGGUAGCCGGCCUGAGAGGGUGACCGGCCACAUUGGGACUGAGAUACGGCCCAGACUCCUACGGGAGGCAGCAGUGGGGAAUAUUGCACAAUGGGCGGAAGCCUGAUGCAGCAACGCCGCGUGCGGGAUGACGGCCUUCGGGUUGUAAACCGCUUUCGCCUGUGACGAAGCGUGAGUGACGGUAAUGGGUAAAGAAGCACCGGCUAACUACGUGCCAGCAGCCGCGGUGAUACGUAGGGUGCGAGCGUUGUCCGGAUUUAUUGGGCGUAAAGGGCUCGUAGGUGGUUGAUCGCGUCGGAAGUGUAAUCUUGGGGCUUAACCCUGAGCGUGCUUUCGAUACGGGUUGACUUGAGGAAGGUAGGGGAGAAUGGAAUUCCUGGUGGAGCGGUGGAAUGCGCAGAUAUCAGGAGGAACACCAGUGGCGAAGGCGGUUCUCUGGGCCUUUCCUGACGCUGAGGAGCGAAAGCGUGGGGAGCGAACAGGCUUAGAUACCCUGGUAGUCCACGCUGUAAACGGUGGGUACUAGGUGUGGGGUCCAUUCCACGGGUUCCGUGCCGUAGCUAACGCUUUAAGUACCCCGCCUGGGGAGUACGGCCGCAAGGCUAAAACUCAAAGGAAUUGACGGGGCCCCGCACAAGCGGCGGAGCAUGCGGAUUAAUUCGAUGCAACGCGUAGAACCUUACCUGGGUUUGACAUGGAUCGGGAGUGCUCAGAGAUGGGUGUGCCUCUUUUGGGGUCGGUUCACAGGUGGUGCAUGGCUGUCGUCAGCUCGUGUCGUGAGAUGUUGGGUUAAGUCCCGCAACGAGCGCAACCCUUGUUCACUGUUGCCAGCACGUUAUGGUGGGGACUCAGUGGAGACCGCCGGGGUCAACUCGGAGGAAGGUGGGGAUGACGUCAAGUCAUCAUGCCCCUUAUGUCCAGGGCUUCACGCAUGCUACAAUGGCUGGUACAGAGAGUGGCGAGCCUGUGAGGGUGAGCGAAUCUCGGAAAGCCGGUCUCAGUUCGGAUUGGGGUCUGCAACUCGACCUCAUGAAGUCGGAGUCGCUAGUAAUCGCAGAUCAGCAACGCUGCGGUGAAUACGUUCCCGGGGCU